CCUACGGGAGGCAGCAGUGGGGAAUUUUGGACAAUGGGCGAAAGCCUGAUCCAGCAAUGCCGCGUGAGUGAAGAAGGCCUUCGGGUUGUAAAGCUCUUUUGUCAGGGAAGAAACGGUGAGGGCUAAUAUCCCUUGCUAAUGACGGUACCUGAAGAAUAAGCACCGGCUAACUACGUGCCAGCAGCCGCGGUAAUACGUAGGGUGCAAGCGUUAAUCGGAAUUACUGGGCGUAAAGCGUGCGCAGGCGGUUUUGUAAGUCUGUCGUGAAAUCCCCGGGCUCAACCUGGGAAUUGCGAUGGAGACUGCAAGGCUAGAAUCUGGCAGAGGGGGGUAGAAUUCCACGUGUAGCAGUGAAAUGCGUAGAGAUGUGGAGGAACACCGAUGGCGAAGGCAGCCCCCUGGGUCAAGAUUGACGCUCAUGCACGAAAGCGUGGGGAGCAAACAGGAUUAGAUACCCUGGUAGUCCACGCCCUAAACGAUGUCUACUAGUUGUCGGGUUUUAAUUAACUUGGUAACGCAGCUAACGCGUGAAGUAGACCGCCUGGGGAGUACGGUCGCAAGAUUAAAACUUAAAUGAAUUGACGG
Molecule: ribosomal RNA, 585 nt
Filed under: uncultured bacterium
Lineage: Bacteria
Description: bacterial SSU rRNA
Rfam family: Bacterial small subunit ribosomal RNA
Source: RNAcentral